Chinchilla lanigera (long-tailed chinchilla) is the source of this 7071-nucleotide long non-coding RNA. RefSeq lists it as uncharacterized. Lineage: Eukaryota; Metazoa; Chordata; Mammalia; Rodentia; Chinchillidae. The transcript is spliced from 3 exons. The record is from RefSeq and is a predicted model, not a curated record.
CUCUCCUCCUCCUCCUCGGUCUCGAUGGCGGAUCCGCGCGGAGCGAUCACGAUCACUCACGUUGACACUCUGGACUAAUGAAUAGUUGACUGUAUCCCAUCCUUUGGAUUCCGGUGGAAAGGACCCCAAAAUUGCCGCCCAAAAGAACAACUCUGAUCCAUACAUUGAGCUGUCUUUUCAGUUCUGUCCAACAAGUUAUUCCCCAUCCUGGACUUGGCAGAAAUUAAGAGCCAUGGGAGACUUCAAGGAGGACAGCUACAGUGUCCUUCUGACUCUGAGACUGUCAAAAAGAAAUCAUUUCAAGCAAAAACUUGACCUCGAAUCUUCUGUAGGCAUGCCAACUCCUGAGCUGAUUCGUGGGUCACCUAGAAAAGAAAUCCAAUAAUAAUAACAACAUUAAUUGCAGCCGUCACAUAUUGAACACAGACGAAGUGCCCAGGGCUAUACUAAAUGCCUGACAUGCAAGAGCUAUCGAGUGUAAUCCACACAACAACCGUGUGGAGCAAGGUAUUGUUACUUGCAUGUGUUAUACAAAGGAGCUCAGGUUGGAGGGUUUGGCAGUGGUUUUCAAACUGCAGUGCACAGGGCGCUGGGUUCCUUCCAGAAUUUCUGGGUCUGGGCUGGGGCCUCAAGAUUUCCAUUUUAAAAAGUUCCCAGGUUACUGCCGUUACUGCUGCCCUAGAGACCACACUGGAGAAACACUGAUUCCAGUCACUUGUUCAAGCUGACACAACAAGUAAGCGAGAGGAGGAUUUUUUCAAAAUUAAAACUUUGACUUAGAAAUGUACUCUUCAAAUAUCUGUAUUUCUUUGAAUUUUCUGAAGUCAAACCUUUGAAUUAUGAGCUCGUUGUUGCACUCACAAAGCACAGUAGCUCAGAUAGCUGCUUGUUUGCAUGAAAUGUCCUGUUCCAUGAGGUUUUUUAUGGCACAAAACAGUUGGUGAUACCUUAAAAGGGGAGGAUUUCAGGGACAUUUGUGGAAGGAUCAUCAAGUCCUUAAAUCACCCCUACCUGGCCAUGCCUGAGAUCAGCAGCCCUGCAGAAGUAAAGAAUUUGCAAGAGCUAUGACCCAGGUCCAGCUGGAAGAUUCAUUAGAAGUUGCAAGAUGGAGCCCAGCUGGGCAAGCCGCACCUGGCUACCAUGUGUGCCUGAGAGGCAUGGUAUUUCCAAGGAGAGCUCUCAAUGCACAGCCCACUUGGGCAUCAGAAGGCUCUGGAUCCCUUGAAUGUUGCUCAAGCGAGGCACUUGCAACUAGCCAGCCACUGCAGCAAGGGAACCACUGCAGCAAGCUGCCAUUGGUAUAAAAAGUGGGAUGUAUUUUGGUUCCUACUGCACACUUUGGGACUGAAGGGGUGGAACUUCCCAGAAGCAUGUGGUGAAAAAUAUGAAAGGAGACACAGGACAUAGGGAGAGAGCGAGGAGAAAAGCUGAAAAUCCCCGUGUGAAUACAGUAAUCCCGCAGAAGGUCAUUGGCUCCUUUAUUGGGUUGUAAAUGCAAAGAACUGGAAUCUAAAUAUGUAGGCAAGGCACACAUCAAGAAAUGUAAAUACUCAGGGGCUUGAGGAAAAGAGAUAAAUUGAGGCAAACAAGUGGUGCCGUGGACAACGGCAGAAGCUGGCUGAUGAGUGACUGUCGUGGUGCAGGACGGAGGCAUACAGUGUGCACUGGAUUUGCUCUCCAGAGCCUAAGAUCUCAGAGCUAACUCUAUAGAUUAAAUUGGUUGAUCUUUGAAGGCCAUUCCUCUUCUAUAUACAUGGAUGUAUUCAUUUGGACAUUCACUCACUCAUUCACUCAUUCAUUCCUUCAACAGCUUUUUUUUUUUUUUACUGGGCACAUGUUAUGGGGCCAACUAUUCAUUUAGACAUAGGCAGCAAAAGCUCAGACUCCAUUCUCUGCUCUUCUGGAGGUUAAUCAUUAAUGGGUGAGACAAUACAUGAAAUAAAUUGUACAGCAUAUUAAGAUCUGAAAAGUUCCAAAGAGAAGAGUUAAAAUAGAAAGAAGAUACGGAUUCGCAGGUGGUAUGGUUGAAGGAUGGCUUGUUUAUUCCCAGCUACAUUUAUCAAGGUUGCUAUGGUUUGGAUCAAGCUUUUGGAAAAUGAUUCAGUCAUGAUCAUUCUAACUUCAUCAGUGGAUUAAUCCAUUGAUGGAGUCAUAAUUUGAUGGAAUUACCAGGAAGUGACAGAAACAGGAGGUGGGAACCAGUUGAAGAUAGUGGGUGACGAGCAUGUUAGGUUGGGAGUCACAUUUUGUUCCCAGCCCUUUUGUCUCUGAGCCUUUCACUCUCCCUCCACUUCCUGGGCACCAUGAGUUGAGCCUCUAUCACACCUUUCUGCCAUGAUAUUUCUGCCUGACCCCAGGCCCAAGAGCAACAGAGCAACUAACCAUGGACUGAAACUUCUGGAACCGUGAGCCAAAAUAAAUCUUUGUUCUUAUAUGUUGAUAUCUUCAGGUAUUUUGUCCCAGUAAUAAAAAGCUAAUACAACCACCAAUGAAUCCCCUUUGGUUACAAAGAAAGGAAAAUUAAAUCACAUUGGUCUAAGAAAAAAAAGGAAAAAUGUUGGCAGUAGACAACGCAGAAGUCCUGGCAUUGAUAAUUUUUAAUGUUACUUUUCCUUCUAGCACUCACUCCACUGAUGCUUUCUGAUACAGCUCAGAUAUCCUGGGGUAUCUUUUUCUUAUUUGACCUCUGUACCUCUGGGGAAGUAGGACUUCUCCCUAGUUCAGGGCUUCUGCCAAUCAGGACACUUCAUUCCCUUACUGAUCAUAGUGACUGUUUCUUGAGAAGGCAAGGGUCCAAGGAAGUGCAAUGUCAGAAAUUUCACCUGCUUUCUUUUGCUGAACCUGGAGGGGAAAAGUCAUUGCUGGCAGCUACUUUAUAACCAGGGGGAGGAGGAAGCUGCCUUAGAGUAAAGUAAAGCAGAGAGAUGAAGAAAAGAAAUAAGAACAAAAAUAAAAACCCAGGAUCUGGAUGACACCAUUCAUCCAGUGGAUAAACACUCUGGAGUAAAUCUGCCAGUGUCUAGGCUUAUAGUUAAAUGAGUCAAAAACAAUUUUCUUUAUGGCUUAGCGCCAUUGAGUUGGGCUUUCUGUUAGUUUAAAUAGAAAGAUGAAAUACCUAGUUCAGGCACAGUUAUGACCAGACUCUUGCUCAUCAUGGGCCGCUGAUUUUCUCUGUGUGGGCUUCACUCAACCUGGCUUCCCCACAGUUUCCACUGGCAGCCUCAUCCCUGCAGCACCUGCAAGGCCUUUGCACCCACCUGGUUGUGUUACCAGGGUCUACUUCAGCCUUUGAACCACGCACUGAGAUUGGGGGGUGAAACACCACCAAUCUGGGACUGAUGUCCUCUCCUGGGGCCAGGGCUGAAGCCUGAUUCAUUUAAAUCACAUUGUCUGAGAGAGCUGGUUCCUCAAAUUAGGGAGUUGUUCCUAGAAAGUUGGGGCGUGGAUGUGGGACAGUUGGGAGGAAGCUAUGCCCUAAUGUCUUAUGUUCCACUUGGACAUCUCACAUUUCUCAUUGCAAAAUGAAAAGUUAAGACAAAGCGACUGCUCCCAGCAGUUUUAUCACCAAGGACACCUUCUCGUGCCAUUCUCUGUUGGUGCUGGAUUAAACUAAAUUGGAAAGACUUUGUCUGUAACUUACCUAGUCACCCAUCACGCAUUCACCUACCGUUCAGCAUGCUGCUGUGUAAUAGCCAUUAGCUCCCGAUUUUGUUCUCCUCCAUGAGGACACGGCAGCAACACAUGUUGGAAGAGAUGUGAGCACUCUAUUCAGUGACACAGAAUGGCAGAGUCUGCUGGAGGUUUCCCUUCAGGGUUAAAAAGCCAUAGCUGUUGGAGAGAAACCUUUGUGCUCAUAAUUUCUAUUCUGCUUGGAAAGCAGGUAUGAGGAUGGGGUGUCUGGAGUGGAUGCAAAAGAUCUGACAUGUAUGAAGAAAAAUCAGCAGGUUGAGCCUAAUAGAACAAAAAGAACAGUCGAAUUCUGGAGUCACCAUCAUGUGACCUAGGCAGAAUCUCUAGGCCUAUGAUGAACCUAGACUCAUACCCAUCCAGAUUUUUUUGCUAGGUGAGAGAACUCAGCUCUUCAUUGCUCAAGGCACAGUUACAGUAUUCUGUUACAUAGAGUCAAAAGCAUUCCUGCUUGCUACAGUCAGAUCCAGGAGAGGUCCCCAGGCAGCUUUAGUCUGAAGAUGGGCAGUGAACUGAUGAUUACAAGUGUCACCAGGGUCCUUCUUGAACCGGAAACACUGGAGCUUAUAUCUGGGGACCUAAUCAUUGAAAGAAACUGCAUGUAUGCAACAAGCAAUAACAUUUUUCUAUUAUUUUAGAGAAUUAAGUGAGAGGUCCACACAGUAGAUAUUUCCCAUUGCAGCCCAACUCUGCUGGUGCAGUGCAAAAGAAGCCAUAGACCAUACAUGAAUGAAUGGGUGUGGUUGUGUACCAAUAAAACUUUAUUUACAAAAACAGGCAGUUGGCUGGGUUGGCCAGUAGUUUGCUGACUCCCAAAUUAGACAAUCACAACUGAGUGUGCAAUGAAAACAGCAAUCAACGGGACUGUGUACCACUUAUUAAAAUAUAGUGGACCAGUCUUAAUCCCGUGGUGCUAAUUUUCCAAUGUCAGGUCCUUGCAUGCAGGCACUUUGUGACCCCUUGAUACAUCUGUAGCCUGCCUUCCUGUUCUGCCACAGCUAUGGAUAAUGGGGUGCGUCAGGUGGGCAUCAAUCCAUAGUGAACGUAGAAACCCUAGUAGGAGGGGUUGGGAAGGUACUGAUAAAGUGUGGGGCACUCUGAUGAAAACACAUGUCAUGGCAUCAUGAAACAGGCAGAGACACAAAAACAUCACAUUGGAUUACUUUUGCUAGAAUUUUUGUGACCAACAUACACUGCGUUUGUCACCAGCUUAAAGAUGGCAACUGUGGUUAGAAGAAAUGCACAAACCACGUAACGUACGCAGUGUUGUGAUUUAUAAGGAGCGUGAUUAAUACUGUGCAUUUUAAACCUGUGUGCAUAUAUGUCACAAACUGUAUGGUUCACUAAACAUCACAAGAGACUUCCAAAGAAACCAAGACUGAAGAAAAGUUACAUUUUGCCACCUUAGUUUUGAAUCAUGAUUCUCUUUCACCAAUGGUUGUAAAAUUUUAAUUAGCUUUGAUUUUGAAAAAAAAAAAAAAAACCUUAUAAAAUCAGAUUCUUUCUACCCUUACUAAUUAUAUGUUGGAAAAAUGUUUGAAGGGUAUUGGGUUAAAGAGUCAAUAAAUUAUUUACCCUUGGUGACUUCUGUAUAUAAAAGCCCACGACUCAGUUACUGUUGGAUCCAGGAAGGUAUAAAUAGAAUGCGUUGGCUAUGGGCCAAAGGAAUGGUGAAGACUGAGGCAGACACUUAUGCCCUGUUCAGCCUGUUGUGUCUCUCUCUGUCUCUCUCCCCAAUCCCUUUGCACAAAAGCAUGCAAACUCCAGUUCCCUUCUCCAGACAAGAAACACGCAUUCCUUCAACUGAUAGAGCCAGAGCUUCCGCACAGUGCUGAGGCCUGAACUGAUCGGGUGGCUUAAUCCUGCCUGGCCCUGACAAGAUAACUGGUUGUAGAACAUAGCACCUUUUCCCGUAUCUCACACUAUGGAUCUAUUAGUAUUGCUAUUUAUGUGAAAAAGAAGAGAGAGUGCUAAUUUAUACAUACAUUUGUUUUGUAAAAAUUCUACUCCUGUUCUCAGAUUGGUUCAAAUCCCCCAGAAUAUCACUCUUCUGUGAUCUGUAAUCUGGCUAGAAGGGGAAAUGCUAAGGCGUUUAAGAAUUUCAAAUUCCUGUAUUGCCACUUGUAGUGAGCUGUGUCAUUGACAGAGCCAUGCAGUUUUUCUCCUGCCCUAAAUGUCACAAAAAGAAAAGUGAUUCACAGCAGUUUACACAUGCCAAACACAUUUGUCGAAUAAACAACACAGAGCAAACUGCAGUUGAAAUACCACCCAUAAAGAAACACAGUAGUUAAUCUGACUUUAAUUGAAAUGUUGCAUGUUGAUACCUUUUGUUUAUGCAUGAGACAAAACUGAUAUAAAGGAGAGCAAUGAUGAUAAUCAUAUUCGAGACAUUUUGAAGGUUGGGGCUUCUGAAGCACUUGAAGAAGAAAAGAAAUACCACAUGUACUCAUGUUAAAGAAAUGCUGCAUUUGGUUUAGAAAGUGCUUCCAAUAUGGUAAUGAAUAAGGUAAAAUUUCCAUUUUAGUGCAGUGCUGAAUUGAGCUACUGUGUGCUUCUGGGAGAUAUGUUUAGGCAUUCGACAAUUAAAAAAAAAAAAAAAACUGAAGUAUUGGGUCUAAAGGGCCCGAGUUGUACUUUCUGCCUAACUUCUGUCCAUCUUGCUCCUUUAGAUAAUACCAUUUAGGGUUUGGGAAGUUUAUUCUUUGUUGUGCUCAACAAUGGCAUUCUUGUGGUGUGGAUCCAUAACCUCUCAGGGACUGGCUAAGGCUGAUAACCUCCCCGCCACUCUCCUCUGGCAACCAGGACUGGACUGAAGAUGGGCAAAACUUAGUCAGAGCCAGGAUCUGUAGAGAAGUUUGCUAGGGUUCUGGGCAUAAAAAGGUUUAUUUUUUUUUCUUGAGAACCACGGAAGUGGGGCGCAUUUUGUCUGGAAUCUGUGUGAUAUGAAGAUGUGAAGAUUUGAGUAGUGUCCUUGUUACUAAAAUGAAAACCCUGCAGUUGGUGGUGGGAUCUCUUGAGGCCAAAAGAGGCAAAAAAUACUGUGAAAGACAGAACGUGAAAAAUGAAGUAAAAGGCUCAUCCUUGAGGAUACUAGUUCCAGCUGGACCUGAAGCUUCUUCUGCCUUUCAUCUUUUUGGGGACACAAGACUAUACAUUCCGUUAUUUUGCAAGCAAUUUGAGUUGGGUUUCUAUCAUUUUCAAUGGUAAAAUUUGUAACUCAUCAUUUAGCUUUGUCUAACUGAGGAUUAUAUGUUAAAUAUAUUAAUGUCCUUUCAAUGAAUUAUGUGAGUAAAAUUGGACCAUACUGAGUUUCUGCCUUAUUGUUUGGUUUACUGUGUUUUUUCAGUUGGAAUAAAAGGCAUCAUUGGUUGUAUUAUUACUAGU